UAGGGAAUCUUCGGCAAUGGGGGGAACCCUGACCGAGCAACGCCGCGUGAGUGAAGAAGGUUUUCGGAUCGUAAAGCUCUGUUGUUAAGGAAGAACGAGUGUGAGAAUGGAAAGUUCAUACUGUGACGGUACUUAACCAGAAAGGGACGGCUAACUACGUGCCAGCAGCCGCGGUAAUACGUAGGUCCCGAGCGUUGUCCGGAUUUAUUGGGCGUAGAGCGAGCGCAGGCGGUUAGAUAAGUCUGAAGUUAAAGGCAGUGGCUCAACCAUUGUAGGCUUUGGAAACUGUUUAACUUGAGUGCAGAAGGGGCGAGUGGAAUUCCAUGUGUAGCGGUGAAUUGCGUAGAUAUAUGGAGGAACACCAGUGGCGAAGGCGACUCUCUGGACUGUAACUGACGCUGAGGCUCGAAGGCGUGGGUAGCAAACAGG
This 429-nucleotide ribosomal RNA is filed under the name Bacteroidota bacterium. RNAcentral describes it as "Bacteroidetes bacterium partial 16S ribosomal RNA". It matches the Rfam family "Bacterial small subunit ribosomal RNA", at positions 355 to 776 of the family's 1533-position model. The record is from RNAcentral. Lineage: Bacteria; Pseudomonadati; Bacteroidota.